UACAGAGGUGGCAAGCGUUGUUCGGAAUUACUGGGCGUAAAGGGCGCGUAGGCGGUCUUCUAAGUCUUGUGUGAAAUCCCUCGGCUCAACUGAGGAACUGCACGGGAUACUGGAAGACUUGAGUUCGGGAGAGGGAAGCGGAAUUCCGGGUGUAGCGGUGGAAUGCGUAGAUAUCGGGAGGAACACCAGUGGCGAAGGCGGCUUCCUGGACCUGUUCUGACACUGAGGAGCGAAAGCGUGGGGAGCGAUCCGG
This 253-nucleotide ribosomal RNA is filed under the name uncultured bacterium. RNAcentral describes it as "partial 16S ribosomal RNA". It matches the Rfam family "Bacterial small subunit ribosomal RNA", at positions 524 to 776 of the family's 1533-position model. The record is from RNAcentral.